AUCUUUGCACUUGGAGCAAUGACGCAGCUAGUGAGAUUUCAUGAGACGCGUUAAUUGCCGGUUGAAAACUAUUUCAGAACCCCCUCUUUCGCUCUCAUUGGCCAUUGAGAAUUUUUGGAAGGGUUCCAAACA
Triticum aestivum (bread wheat) is the source of this 132-nucleotide non-coding RNA. NCBI's taxonomy places the organism in Eukaryota, Viridiplantae, Streptophyta, Magnoliopsida, Poales, Poaceae. The record is from Rfam.